Myripristis murdjan (pinecone soldierfish) is the source of this 392-nucleotide non-coding RNA. The record is from the annotation of a RefSeq genome assembly. NCBI's taxonomy places the organism in Eukaryota, Metazoa, Chordata, Actinopteri, Holocentriformes, Holocentridae.
AAAGCACAAGCAGCAUGACUCUCAUCAGCAUCUUCAUCUGGACGCUGGCCUGCUGCUGCUUCACAGGAUCCAGCAGUCAGGUGACUGUGACUCAGCCUCCAGUGGUGACAUUUACUCCAGGAUCCACUGUCACCCUGUCCUGUAAAGCCAACCCAAAGGCUUAUACUUGGCCAGAUGGAGAUUUUGGAAUAGGCUGGUAUCAGAAGAAAUCUGGAGAAGUUCCCAAACUCCUGAUCUACUAUGGUCGAAAGACUGCAAGUGGUGUUCCCUCUCGAUUCACCGGCAGUGGAGACGGUGUUAAUCCUGUUUUGACCAUCAGUGGAGUCCAGGCUGAAGAUGCAGCAGUUUAUUACUGUCAGAGUUACCAUAGUGGCAAUGUGUUCACACAGUGA